RNAcentral lists this ribosomal RNA (386 nucleotides) under uncultured Desulfobulbus sp. Its description in RNAcentral is "bacterial SSU rRNA". It matches the Rfam family "Bacterial small subunit ribosomal RNA", at positions 1007 to 1382 of the family's 1533-position model. The record is from RNAcentral. Lineage: Bacteria; Pseudomonadati; Thermodesulfobacteriota; Desulfobulbia; Desulfobulbales; Desulfobulbaceae.
CGUAGGGGUGCUCACCUGGAAGAAUCUGGAGACAGGUGCUGCAUGGCUGUCGUCAGCUCGUGUCGUGAGAUGUUGGGUUAAGUCCCGCAACGAGCGCAACCCUUGCCUUUAGUUGCCAGCAGUUCGGCUGGGCACUCUAAAGGGACUGCCGGUGUUAAACCGGAGGAAGGUGGGGAUGACGUCAAGUCCUCAUGGCCUUUAUGACCAGGGCUACACACGUACUACAAUGGCCGAUACAAAGGGCAGCGACACUGCGAGGUGAAGCCAAUCCCGUAAAUCGGUCUCAGUCCGGAUUGGAGUCUGCAACCCGACUCCGUCGAAGCUAGGUAAGUACGCUAGUAAUACGCGCGAUCAGCCAUGGCGCGGUGAAUACGUUCCCGGGCCUU